UAUCUCUGUAGAGUCUGCAUAUCAAUAAGCGGAGGAAAAGAAACUAACUAGGAUUCCCUUAGUAACGGCGAGUGAAGCGGGAAGAGCUCAAAUUUGAAAUCUUCAAGGUUUACCUUGACGAAUUGUAGUUUAAAGAAGUGUUUUCUGUUGGAGUUUCGGUAAAAGUUCUUUGGAAUAGGACAUCAUAGAGGGUGAGAAUCCCGUAUUUGACCAUUAUUUCCAACUUUGUGAUACACUUUCAAAGAGUCGGAUUGUUUGGGAAUGCAGUCCAAAAUGGGUGGUAAAUUUCAUCUAAAGCUAAAUACUGGCGAGAGACCGAUAGCGAACAAGUACCGUGAGGGAAGGAUGAAAAGAACUUUGAAAAGAGAGUUAAACAGUACGUGAAAUUGUCAAAAGGGAAGCGUUUGACACCAGUGUUGUUUUCUCGAAAAUCAAUUAAAAAUGGCGGGAUUUUGUGUUGUAUUGACUUUAUCAGCUUUCUGCACUUUUUUCCUGUCUUUUUAAUGCACUUUUCGUUUAACAAGUCAACAUCAAUUUCUUUUGUUGUAAAAGGGUCAUUGGAGGGUGGCUUUCUUUUCGGAGAAAGUGUUUAUAGCCUUUGACUUCUGCAAUCGGAGAGAUUGAGGUCUGCAGCGUAGAUCCUUCGGGGUUAGAUGCAUUUGUGCUAAGUUAUAGCCUUUCAUAGACAACUUGUUGACUAUGAUCAGUCAUGUAGCUUACUCGCUUAUGUCAUUUUACCUACGCUUAGGAUGUUGAUCUCUCACAGUCGAGC
This 772-nucleotide ribosomal RNA is filed under the name uncultured Neocallimastigales. RNAcentral describes it as "partial large subunit ribosomal RNA". It matches the Rfam family "Eukaryotic large subunit ribosomal RNA", at positions 24 to 645 of the family's 3401-position model. The record is from RNAcentral. Lineage: Eukaryota; Fungi; Neocallimastigomycota; Neocallimastigomycetes; Neocallimastigales.